Molecule: ribosomal RNA, 806 nt
Filed under: uncultured Sulfolobales archaeon
Lineage: Archaea; Thermoproteati; Thermoproteota; Thermoprotei; Sulfolobales
Description: bacterial SSU rRNA
Rfam family: Archaeal small subunit ribosomal RNA
Source: RNAcentral
ACKGCUCAGUAACACGUGGCCAACCCACCCUCAGGACGGAGACACCCCCGGGAAACUGCGCCUAGGGCCCGAAACGCCUUUAUUCCUGGAAUGAAUCUUCCUAUGUAGGCGUUGGGAUCUUGCUUCUUAACUUCUUCCGAGGACGGCUUGAGACCGAUCUUUGAUUGGCCAUGCAACGGAUCAUCUCACCUAUACCGAAAUAGCACGAGGUAUGGCGAGCCCCGAAAUGGGCACUGAUACUCGGUGCCAGAACCUACCUGGCGUGGUUCUUGACCGACUUGACGUUGAAACCAUGCGUGUCCGCGCUACCCCGAGAGGCAACCGCUGACGAUGGCUUUGCUCUGGUGGAAAAAGGUCGACGAAUCUAGAAACGGCACGGCUGGUGUCAGCCGCCGCCCGAAUAAUGGGCUCUCCGAGUGGGGGCCAUGAUUAUUGGGCUUAAAGCGUCCGUAAAACUCCUUUCUGGUCUUUCGUUAGAUCCGGCUAUUAAUCGUGGCACUGCCUGAGAUACUGUUUUGCUAGGGGGAGUGAGAAGCCGAAAUAAUUCUAGGGGUAGGCUGAAGAUCCUAUACUCCCAAAAAGACCAUCUCCGAGUGAACGGACGAUUAUUGCGCUUAUCGACGGCGAAGCACGACCACUGAGGCACCCAAUCGAAUCAGAUACCUAAUCAGUGCCAUGUGUAAAAUAUUGUUGCUAUAUGUUGCAGCAGAUACCAACCGCUUUCCCGCCGCAGGGAAGACAUCAUAUACUCCCGCUGGGAAGUACAGUCGCAAGGGUUGAACUUUAAAGCAUUGUCGACGGAGAAC